UAGCCUAGAGUCCUGGGGAGCUUCUGUCCACCUGUCCUGCAGAGGAGUCGUUUCCAGCCCGGCUGCCGCAGGAUGGGUGAGUUCAACGAGAAGAAGACAACAUGUGGCACCGUUUGCCUCAAGUACCUGCUGUUUACCUACAAUUGCUGCUUCUGGCUGGCUGGCCUGGCUGUCAUGGCAGUGGGCAUCUGGACGCUGGCCCUCAAGAGUGACUACAUCAGCCUGCUGGCCUCAGGCACCUACCUGGCCACAGCCUACAUCCUGGUGGUGGCGGGCACUGUCGUCAUGGUGACUGGGGUCUUGGGCUGCUGCGCCACCUUCAAGGAGCGUCGGAACCUGCUGCGCCUGGUCAGGAGGGCGCAGGGCCACGGGGUGGGGGUGGUGCAGAUGGGCCCAAGGAGGUUGUCGCUGCAGGCUUUGAACCUGUGCCUUGCUGUGCUCACCUGGGGGGGGGGGGGUCACGGUCCUUCCACACCUGCCUAGUCCUGUGGGUCCCCACGUUCCCGCUGGACCAGCUGAGGGAAGACACCAGCUCCGCAAGAAAGCUUCAGGGAGGGUGGCCGCCCCUCAGCCCCCACCUGGAGCCUGGGGAGCCGGGGUGGGGACUCUGCUCUGAGGUGCACUAGGUCUAGGCACUAGGCCUCAGAACAAGGGUGCCCUUGUGCUGCCCCCCCCAGUACUUCAUCCUGCUCCUCAUCAUCUUUCUGCUGGAGAUCAUCGCUGGUAUCCUCGCCUACGCCUACUACCAGCAGCUGAACACGGAGCUCAAGGAGAACCUGAAGGACACCAUGACCAAGCGCUACCACCAGCCGGGCCAUGAGGCUGUGACCAGCGCUGUGGACCAGCUGCAGCAGGAGUUCCACUGCUGUGGUAGCAACAACUCACAGGACUGGCGAGACAGUGAGUGGAUCCGCUCACAGGAGGCCGGUGGCCGCGUGGUCCCCGACAGCUGCUGCAAGACGGUGGUGGCUCUUUGUGGGCAGCGGGACCAUGCCUCCAACAUCUACAAGGUGGAGGGCGGCUGCAUCACCAAGUUGGAGACCUUCAUCCAGGAGCACCUGAGGGUCAUUGGGGCUGUGGGGAUCGGCAUUGCCUGUGUGCAGGUCUUUGGCAUGAUCUUCACGUGCUGCCUGUACAGGAGUCUCAAGCUGGAGCACUACUGACCCUGCCUUGGGCCUUGCUGCUGCUGCACCCAACUACUGAGCUGAGACCACUGAGUACCAGGCGCUGGGCUCCCUGAUGACACCCACCCUGUGCCAUCACCAUAACCUCUGGGGACCCCAACCUCAGAGGCAGCUUCAAGUGCCUUUUGCUGCGCACCAACGCCCAGCAGGGGAGGUGAGGGGGGCUGGCGGGGCGAAGUUUGGGGGGUGUUUUGUGGGGCUCCCCGGACAUACUCUCUGCCUGGUGGUCAGAUGCAGGCUGGAAGGGGCCUUGCUGAGUGGCGCAAGGCCGAGUGUUCCCAGCAGGGGGAGAAACCCUUCACACCCCAGGCCCUUCAGGAACUGGGGCUUUGCCUUGCAGCCACAUGGCCCCAUCCCAGUUGGGGAAGCCAGGUGAGCUCUGACCCUUGGGCCUGGGCCUGGGCCUCUGCCCCUCCCCACCCAGCCCUUGUCUCCCUCGACAGCGCCCCUGCUGUCUUCCCCACUGCGGUCACCACCACCCGAAAUGCCACGUGGUCACUGUGCACUGCCCUGUCCAUGUGCCUCUGCGGGGCAGGGGCUUCCUGGUUUUGUUCACUGCUGUACCCAGAUGCCUACAACCAUCCCUGCCACAUACAGGUGCUCAAUAAACACUUGUAGAGCAGAUGGA
Molecule: small RNA, 1812 nt
Filed under: Pan troglodytes (chimpanzee)
Lineage: Eukaryota; Metazoa; Chordata; Mammalia; Primates; Hominidae
Description: retained intron
Source: RNAcentral